Long non-coding RNA from Vidua macroura (Pin-tailed whydah), 1778 nucleotides. RefSeq lists it as uncharacterized. The transcript has 3 exons. Lineage: Eukaryota; Metazoa; Chordata; Aves; Passeriformes; Viduidae. The record is from RefSeq and is a predicted model, not a curated record.
GGUCAUCGUGUAUCAUUAUCGAUCCGGGGGAGGGCGGCGGGGAGCGCCUACCGCGUAUCUGUUGCUCGCCACUUCUCCGGGAAGGCGGCGUGAGGCAGCAGUCAGUAGAGGGCAAUAGAGAAAUACAGUUUGUGAUGCCUAAAGGAUUUGAAGCCCUGAUUAUGUGUUUACAGAAAAGAAAAAGAAGAAAAGAAGAGCCAGGAGGAUAGGUUGUUCAGUUUACUACCGGAGACCUGACUGUGACAGACCACCAAGAAAACAAAAUGUUCAAAGAGAGUACAAGAAGACCUUCUGCAGCAUCUGUGAGUCUGUCCUUUUUUCUUCAGAGUUACGUAGGAUAACUUAGCCAGAACUUAUUGAUGUCUGCAUGUUCAGUGGACUCGGGAAUGGACUGGGAGAUGCAGAAACGUACUCUUUGGAAGAAACAGGAGAGGAGGCAUUUCAAAGAUCCUGCAGGUGACAAAGGUGAUGAUCUGCUGACAGAAUAAAUAAAUAAUAGAAAGUGCCAAGACUGCACAGGCAUUUGCUGUGGUAUCACUCCCACACGAGGAACCUUCAUCACAAGUCUUUCUUCAAGUAUGUUCUCUCCUGUGGGUUCAUUAUUUUGCAGAGGAUGGGUCUUUCUGCCCUGCAGGGCUCUAUCUAUCACUGCUGACUCUCUGCAUCUUCUCCACAUGGAAGAAGUAAUUGGAUUGUAUUUUCUGCACACGACCAAGACAGCAGGGAAACCCACAGCUGUAAGCCAGAGAACCAAGCUGUCGAGAGAGUAAGGACCUGGUGCCUAAGAAAACUAAAUGUCUGGGUCUAACCACAAGAUCUUUCUUUUCUUUCCAUGGAGGAGCUGAGACAUGCUGAACUGCAUUAACCAGACUGCUCAGGAAAGUGAGCUCUUCAAGGAGCAGUGAAAAACAUAAACACCCAAAUAAUCCCUUAAAAAAUGCAGCCCAGGAGCAUUAAAUCAUGUGACCAUACAAAAUAAUAAGUAUGCUGUGGGAUGCUAACGGUACAGGACAUUUCAUAAAGUUACAGUGCAAUUAUUGCAAAAUCCAGUGACUUUUUUACACUGACAGGGCCUCCACGUGCUACCACAUGGCUGAUGUAUAUGAUUAUGCAGGAGCAACUGCAACAACUCAGCCCAGACAAAAAGGCAAGAAAAGUGCCCUUAUUUCAUUUAUUUCCAGAUUGCGUUGUAUUUAUUAUUACUAUAAUGCUGCAAAAUGCUAUGUUGUAGUCUUUCCUUUUUUUUUUAAGAACACCACAAUCCUAACAUGAUUAUAUCUGGGGAAAGUGAUGGGAUUGCCAAAGCUUUAUGCUGUUAGUCUUUAAGAGUUUAAUAGAUGUAUUACUUUCCUUCAAAUGAAUGUCUGCUUGUCAGUGUCAGCCUUCUACUGUUCGUCGCCCCCCCCUCCACUUCCUUAGAUCCAAGCCUAAAAAAAGAAUCUGUUUGGAGCUUGAUGUGUUGCUUGCAGCUAUGUUAGAGGAACUGUACUAUUCUGGGAACACUCAGGCUCCUCCAAACACCUCUUCCAGCAGUAACACCAUGCGUGGUUUUCAUCUCAGCCUUAAGGACUUUCAUUGGUCUCCUAUCAAGCCUCACCAGACAAAUUCCAAGUGCCACAGGGAAUGAACUGCACUAUACCAGAAUGUCAUCCCCAAACUUGCACUCAUCAUCAUCAUCAUCAUCAUCAUCAUCAGGUUUCCCAUGCAGGCUGAUUUGUACAUUUCUCUCCAAGACAUGUUUUAUCAACCUUGACUGGAAUAAAAGCAGUGACACAAGA